Molecule: ribosomal RNA, 300 nt
Filed under: uncultured bacterium
Lineage: Bacteria
Description: bacterial SSU rRNA
Rfam family: Bacterial small subunit ribosomal RNA
Source: RNAcentral
UCCUAGCCGUAAACGAUGGUCACUAGGUGUUUGUGGUAUCGACCCCACGAGUGCCGCAGCUAACGCGAUAAGUGACCCGCCUGGGGAGUACGGCCGCAAGGCUAAAACUCAAAAGAAUUGACGGGGGCCCGCACAAGCGGUGGAGCAUGUGGUUCAAUUCGAUGCUACGCGAAGAACCUUACCUGGGUUUGACAUCCUGUCAGUAAUCUGGUGGAAACACCGGAUGACCGUAACCAAUCGGCGGGCAGGACAGGUGCUGCAUGGCUGUCGUCAGCUCGUGCCGUGAGGUGUUGGGUUAAG